AAAAUGAGUAACGUGAAGUUAGAGUAAUAAUUUUAAACUUUUACUCUAUUGAUGGCCUAGAGAUCGAGUACAUUGGUCGAGUAUGAGUGAUGUUUAAAACCCAAAAAAUUUUAAAUCAUCGUUUUACUCGACCAACAGAAGCUACAGGGUCUUCCAAGGAGUUUAUCAAGUUUACAGAAGAUUGUGGGAUUUCCUGGAGGUUUUCUAGUGAAAAGAGAAGAGACAAGAAGACAUUGUGGGAUCCGCCGCUGACGCCCAUGUCCUCCAUGCAACAGACCAACGGACAAGGAAUCCCCCCUCAUCUCUUCUCCUCCACUCGACGUCUACCACAUCACUCGACCUCCAUCCCUCUCUACUCGACCUUAUCACCUCGUCAUCUCCUCCAUCACUCGACUUCAGCGCCAUCAUCAUCCGUCCAAAGCACCACUCGACCUCACCAUCUCUUUUCCUCAGGCACUCAACCGCUUCUCUCUCGCCUUUCACAGCCACCGCUCCCAUCGCCUCUUCACCACCGUCUCGAGCUACCACUCGACCAUUCCUCACCACCACCACCUCUCAAUCGUCUUAAAGCACUCGACCUCUUCACCACUUGACCAAGCAGUCGUUUCUCCUCUUCAAGGAAGACACUCGACCACCGCUUCUCUCAUCUCUCCAAUCACAACAUCAUUCACCACUCGACCUUGCCUCCCGCUUCACCAUCUCCACAUCAGCUCUUGUUCUACGUUUACUCGACCACUACACAGCCUUCUCUAGCUCACAACUCCACUAGUCUUCACCGAAACCACUCGACUUCACGCGAAGAGCACCUCCGCUUCUCCCCCGCCUUCAUUUCAAAGUUCACUCGACCGCUCCUCUAUUUCCACGGUCAAACCGCAGCUGUUCUCCUCCUCUUCAAGCUCACCACUCGACCGCCGCCUCACUCUAACCACGAAACAAGCUUCACUCGACCAAACAAAAUCACUCGAUCAACCGAAAGAAAAGAAAAAAAAAAUUCAAAACCAAAGGUUUACUCGACUACGUCACUCGACCGGUUCACUUGAUUGGUUUGUGUUUUUGGUUUGUUGUUACUAACGUAUUAACGUUUAUUUUUGAGUUUCUUCUGUUUUCAGGUUUCAUCAUGAGUAACUACAGUGGAGAAUCCUCUAAGGACCCUGAUUACAAUGUGGAUGAAGCUGAGUCCUGGUCCGCUAGACCGAGAGAGCAACAUGUUUACCAAAGCUUCAGGGAUGAAUUCGAACGCUCUGCAGCCCGACGUAAUCAGAGAAGAGCUGAAAUCGCCAGAGGAAAGAGGGCGAUGUCGAGUAGAUAUGAGCUGAUUGAUGAGGACUGAUAUGUCUAUAAUUUGCAUGUUUUCAGUGUCCAUUCAUCAUCGUUUUGAGUCCAGUUUCGUAUCAUUCAUCACUGUUUUAUAUCAUUUCUCAUCAUUCUUGCAUACUUUGCAUGAUUAGGAUAGCUUUGCAUACAUAUUGCAUUUCUGAGUUGUUUUCAGGUGAUUUGGAGCUGUUUGCGAGCAAAUUGGAAGAAACGAGCCAGAACCAGAAGACAUACUCGACCACUAGGUCGUGUGCAUCUAGCACCAUACUCGACCCCCAAGUCGAGUAACUUUGGAGCCAUUCUUCCCACCUACUCGACCCCCUGGUCGAGUAUCCCCAGCUCAGGCCACUCGAUGACGCCACUCGACCCCCUGGUCGAGUAUCACUUCGCCACACCACCUGACCACACUCGACAAUUCACUCUACCAAGUUACUCGACCCCCUGGUCGAGUAUCAUCACUCACCACCAUCACCAUCACUCGACCGGACACUCGAUCACGUCUUCACAGUCUACUCAAAUCCGCACUCAACCAAACAAGCUGAGCACAAGGAAGAGAAGAGGAGAAGACAAAGUGUUUGGAAGCGGCUUGGACCUCCAUCUGAUCACGAAGCCCAUCUCGGCCCAAUAUCAUUCUAUGGGCCGGGCGAUUAGGUUAUUGGCCCGUCUACUAUACUGAGACAUCUAGUCGACAUUGAGUUUUUGCUUCAGUUUUAUUUUCAGUUUUACUCUGCUACGCCGCUUUUGCUUCUGCAACCUGUAAUUCGAGAUUUUUCUAAGUUAUUUAGAUUCCGCAUUUGAUUUCAUAUGUCAUCUUGUUUCUCUACUCUUUAUCUCUUUACUUAUGCAAUAUUAUCAUUUAUCUGCGUUUAUGUCUUUGAGCAUGUUGUAUGAGUAGUGACUUAGAAUUCUUAGGGUUGGGAUAGAGUAAUUGUGGAAUCCGUAGUCUGUAGAAUGGUUAAGUUUUAGAAUUGAUUGAAUCCCUUCAGGACUAGUUGCGUUUACUGCUUAUUUCUUUCUGAUCAACUGGAAUUCGAUCUCAAGCAUUCCCGCACCCAGAAGGUGUUCGAUGGAAUGCUUGAUCCACUAGUUCCUGAGAUAUUCGUCUCUAUCCCAAGGGAUUGGCGGUUUAGAGCGGUUAUUGACUUUAUCAGUCUGUUCUUAUUGCCUGCAUAGUUAGAUUCCGUUAAUGGGAAUUAGUCUGGGCUAGCUUUGCUUGAGGAUUUCUAUCACGGGAGUGAAUUGAUCUGUUGUUGAACCUGUUGUCUAGGGAUAGCUUGAUUGCGCUUGUUAACCAUUCCGAUAGGCUAGGAUACCACUCUAUUCGAUUGCCCCAUCCUUAGGAAUUUCUCGUCUAUCUGAUUUCUCUGUUUUAUCGUUAUCGCUUAUUCGUUCUCAUUGCCUGUUUCUUCGUUUUUGCAAUUACUCGACCAACUUACUCGACCACACCCAGUGUCUGGCAACAGACUGUGCAGUCGAGUACAGUUGUCUCGUUUCCUGUCUGUUACUCGACCACACCCAGUGUCUGGCAACAGACUGUGCAAUCGAGUAUAUCUGUUUCAUAUCCUGUCUGUUACUCGACCUGUUACUCGACCAUAUCCUACUUCUGGCAUCAGCCUGUUGUGGUCGAGUGAUUUUAGUAAUUCUGUUAUUGUUUCUGUUUUCUGCAUGUUCGCUUAGGACUGUUAGAAACCCCAAAACUGUUAUUGCUUGGCUUGACUUAGUGACUUCUGAUCACAUCUCAUCUGUUUGCAUCACACCCAUUUGGAUUGACACCUAAAAUACUACAACGACAUGAUUGGUGUUUUAGGAUAAUUGACUAAAAACCUAUUAUCAAGGACAUAGAAACUGAGUAUGAGCCAGAGUCAUGGCUUAAGGAGACAAAGCUGAUGAACAAACCCGACGAGGUUACAGUGGAGGAGUAUAUCAGAUUCUUUGAGAUGAAUGACUUCUGGGGAACGAGGUAUCCGUGCUAUGAGAAUUUAGCCCAGUUGGGGUUACUGGAGGACGUGCAGCAUCUGUUCGAGAAGUGUCAUCUGGAGACACUCAUGUCUUACCCUUACCUUGCCUAUAGGGAAGAGACAAUCGAGUUUCUUUUCACGCUGCAAGUGGAGAUGUAUAAGGCACUCACAAACUUUUAGCUGGAUACCAUGGGGUUAGGCUUCUUGACGUUCUCAGUGAAUGAACAGCGGUAUCAGCUUUCGAUCAACAAGUUGGAAGAACUGUUUGGUUUCCCUAGUGGAAAGGGAACCAAACCCAGAUUUGACAGAGAAAAGCUUAAGGAUUUGUGGGCCAUUAUAGGGAACAUCUACCGCUAAACUCGGUGUGGUCCAAGAGCAACCAAAUCCGGAGUCCUGUGAUCUGCUACUUUCAGAGAUUGGUUGCCAACGUCUUUUACUCCAGGGAGUCUACAGGCACCGUGUCUAACACGGACAUGGAGAUGAUAGAUUAUGCGCUUACAGGGAUUCUCCGCCGGACGAAGGGAAAGAAUGUCUUGAGAGGCGAUCUCAACAACGCACCACCAGUAAUGCCUCUGUUGAUCCAUCUGUGUGGAUACAGGAAGUGGGCGUUGACGAACGGAAAGAAGAAGGUGAGAGGAGCACAAUGCGUGGGUGGCGUUGUGACGCCAAUUCUCGAAGCUUGUGGAGUACCGCUCAAGGAACCAGGGUUAGCACCGAGGAUGAUGGACUUGGAUCAUUUGCGCAGAUGUGAGUUCUUGGAGUUUGACAUGGCUGGCAACUUUCACCGCUACAGGUUCGAGCAUUCAUCGAUUAGAAUCGCCAUCAUUCUUCUCCCCUGCAUUAACGCUACUAGGAUUCUCGAGGGCAGGAACAUUGACUUCAAGCCUGCGCUUGAAGAUCUUUAUUUCGAGGGUAGUUCACCAACUGAGGAGAUCAGUCAUACCGAAGGAGCUACAACAGAAGAUGUUGAUAAGACGGAUGAUAUAGAUGAGGCGGAGUUUGACACGAGCAUGUAUCAUUUCAGUGAGCAUAUACCUCCUGCGAGGAAAAGCAAGAGUUUGAGCGAAGCUCACAGGAACACAGCAAGCUGCAGAAGUGGUGCAAGAAACAUGAUAAGUUACUCGCCAAGUGCCUCAGGGCUAUCAAGUUUCUGAAGGACAAGAUCAGCUGCUCCUCUUCCACUACAGCUAUCCCGCAGGGACAUCUUCCUCAGGACAUGCCUUCGAGGAGAUAUGAUGCGCCCGAGCCAAGUCAGCGCAGGCCUGAGCCUAGAGAGCAGGAGAUUCCGCAUGUCCCUGCGAGGCAUUCAUCAUUCGAGCCUCGUGAAUCUGGGAGGAAGAGGAGGACCACACUCACUCGAUCUAGAAGUAGGAGCAGACGACUUCUGCAGUCUCGUAGUUUACGCGACCGCGAUGCUGGCCGCAGCCGAAGGAGAGAGGUCGAGUAUCCUCAGAGCGGUACUGGCGGCCACAAAGCUGAUGAGGUCGAGUACCCACCUGCUGGAGCUGAUACGGAACAAGGCGGUUCGUCCAUGGCCUGGGAGCAAACACAGACAGCCAUUGACGAGCAACUACGUUCAUUCUUCGACUGAGGUAAGCGCCUCACUUCACCAUUGUAUUAUAUCAUCUGUUGUGAUUUGUUUCUUCAUUUUUUGUUACGGUGAUUGGAUUUGUCCUGAGUACUCUCUUCCAAGUUUAUUCACAUAGUGGACUGUGUGAUUUAAGUUUGGGGAAGGGCUCAGGAAGUGUGUGUUGCAUUGUAUAUAUUUUUGAGUCUGCAUUCAUCUAAGGCAUAGGAAAACCAAAAA
Molecule: small RNA, 5079 nt
Filed under: Arabidopsis thaliana (thale cress)
Lineage: Eukaryota; Viridiplantae; Streptophyta; Magnoliopsida; Brassicales; Brassicaceae
Description: ATSL167380
Rfam family: MIR854 microRNA precursor family (bases 4248-4467)
Source: RNAcentral